UGCCAGGGGUCAUGCGAAGGAUCGCCGCCCAACCCCGUCAGGUUCGGAAGGAAGCAGCGGUAAGCGGAAGGUUUUUGCGCCGUGAAUUCCCUGGCGGGG
This 99-nucleotide signal recognition particle RNA is filed under the name Treponema sp. RNAcentral's name for it is "signal recognition particle sRNA small type". It matches the Rfam family "Bacterial small signal recognition particle RNA". From Rfam's summary of the family: The signal recognition particle (SRP) is a universally conserved ribonucleoprotein involved in the co-translational targeting of proteins to membranes. Archaeal SRP consists of a 7S RNA and homologues of the eukaryotic SRP19 and SRP54 proteins. Lineage: Bacteria; Pseudomonadati; Spirochaetota; Spirochaetia; Treponematales; Treponemataceae. The record is from RNAcentral.